CAAAUUAUUUGAUCAACUCGAUCUUUAUAUCGACUUUUGAGAGAAUUAUAUUUUCUAAUUUUCUCGAAACAGCCACGUAUUUGAUGUUUAAUAACAUGGAAGAAAACGAAGUACAUAAUGGACAAAUCAUAUUAGCGGUAUCACCUCGGAAUUGAAGAUAGUAGUCGGUAGUCGCGGCCACCCUACAAUAGGUUUUAAGGUGUCAAAAUAAAGAGCACGUCGAGAUAUGUUUUUCAUGGAUAUUCUACUACGGCGAUCAAACACCAAUCUACACUUGUAAAAUUAAAAAAACUUCAAGCUGAUUUUCAAUGUGAAGAUGGAAAAC
Nymphalis io (European peacock) is the source of this 325-nucleotide long non-coding RNA. RefSeq lists it as uncharacterized. The transcript is spliced from 4 exons. Lineage: Eukaryota; Metazoa; Arthropoda; Insecta; Lepidoptera; Nymphalidae. The record is from RefSeq and is a predicted model, not a curated record.